RNAcentral lists this ribosomal RNA (849 nucleotides) under Shouchella xiaoxiensis. RNAcentral's name for it is "bacterial SSU rRNA". It matches the Rfam family "Bacterial small subunit ribosomal RNA", at positions 57 to 886 of the family's 1533-position model. Lineage: Bacteria; Bacillati; Bacillota; Bacilli; Caryophanales; Bacillaceae. The record is from RNAcentral.
GCAGUCGAGCGGACAGAAGGGAGCUUGCUCCUGGAAGUCAGCGGCGGACGGGUGAGUAACACGUGGGCAACCUGCCCUUUAGAUUGGGAUAACUUCGGGAAACCGAAGCUAAUACCGAAUAAUACAAGGAACCUCCUGGUUCUCUGUUGAAAGAUGGCCUUUGUGCUAUCACUAAAGGAUGGGCCCGCGGCGCAUUAGCUAGUUGGUAAGGUAACGGCUUACCAAGGCGACGAUGCGUAGCCGACCUGAGAGGGUGAUCGGCCACACUGGGACUGAGACACGGCCCAGACUCCUACGGGAGGCAGCAGUAGGGAAUCUUCCGCAAUGGACGAAAGUCUGACGGAGCAAUGCCGCGUGAGUGAGGAAGGCCUUCGGGUCGUAAAGCUCUGUUGUGAGGGAAGAACAAGUACCGGCGUAACUACCGGUACCGUGACGGUACCUCACCAGAAAGCCACGGCUAACUACGUGCCAGCAGCCGCGGUAAUACGUAGGUGGCAAGCGUUGUCCGGAAUUAUUGGGCGUAAAGCGCGCGCAGGCGGCUUCUUAAGUCUGAUGUGAAAUCUCGGGGCUCAACCCCGAGCGGCCAUUGGAAACUGGGAAGCUUGAGUACAGAAGAGGAGAGUGGAAUUCCACGUGUAGCGGUGAAAUGCGUAGAUAUGUGGAGGAACACCAGUGGCGAAGGCGACUCUCUGGUCUGUAACUGACGCUGAGGGCGCGAAAGCGUGGGGAGCAAACAGGAUUAGAUACCCUGGUAGUCCACGCCGUAAACGAUGAGUGCUAGGUGUUAGGGGUUUCGAUGCCCGUAGUGCCGAAGUAAACACAUUAAGCACUCCGCCUGGGGAGUACGAC